AACGUAGGGGGCGAGUGUUAUCCGGAAUUACUGGGCGUAAAGGGCGUGUAGGCGGUUAGGUGUAUCGGAAGUUUAACCCUAUGGCUCAACUGUAGGAAGUCUUUCGAGAUUACCUAAGUAGAGGGUAGAAGCGGGAGAUGGAAAUCCCGGUGUAGCGGUGAAAUGCGUAGGUAUUGGGAAGAACGCCGGCGGUGAAGACGGUCUCCUGGGGUACACCUGACGCUGAGGCGCGAAAGCUAGGGGAGCGAACGGG
This 253-nucleotide ribosomal RNA is filed under the name uncultured bacterium. Its description in RNAcentral is "partial 16S ribosomal RNA". It matches the Rfam family "Bacterial small subunit ribosomal RNA", at positions 524 to 776 of the family's 1533-position model. The record is from RNAcentral.